Molecule: long non-coding RNA, 443 nt
Organism: Mus musculus (house mouse)
Lineage: Eukaryota; Metazoa; Chordata; Mammalia; Rodentia; Muridae
Product: predicted gene, 54210
Exons: 3
Source: RefSeq, a predicted model, not a curated record
UCCUGCAGAUGAAAAGCAUAAGGGUUAGUCAGUCCAUGGACUCCAACUGCAUCAAGCACUAGGACAACAGCUGAACUGGGUGCUAUGGACUGCAGCUGCAUCAAGUACCACAGUCAAACGGGAACAUAUAAGGUGAAGAGGUACAAGAUGUUCAAACUCACUGGAUAAAGAGAGAUUUUUCACUUGGCAUAUGCAGAACUAACCCACACUGAUGAAAUCAAGAAGAUGGAGUCUGUAGAAAACCUAAGUGCUUCCUCAGUAAAGCAGCUGCUUGGAAGAAGAGGUCCUACAGGAAACCAGGGAAACGCAGCACACUGACAGAUAAGAUUCAGUUCCUGCGUUGAGUUCCUGCACUGCUGUCCCUUAACGAUGGAGCUGUAAAAUAAAACAAGCCCUUUCCCUUUGGUCAUGGUGUUUAAUCACAGCAAUAGAAAUAAAACAAG